UGAAGCAGCAACGCCGUGUGAAGGAUGAAUGGCUUUUGCUUGUAAACUUCUGUAAGUGGAGAAAAAUACCCCGUUUUACGGGAUUGAUUGUAUCCACAGAGUAAGCCCCGGCUAACUACGUGCCAGCAGCCGCGGUAAUACGUAGGGGGCAAGCGUUGUCCGGAUUUACUGGGUGUAAAGGGUGCUCAGGUGGAUUUGUAAGUCAGAGGUGAAACUCCGGAGCUUAACUCCGGAACUGCCUUUGAUACUGCAAGUCUCGAGUUUGAGAGAGGGCAAUGGAAUAUCUGGUGUAGCAGUGAAAUGCGUAGAUAUCAGAUAGAACACCAAUGGCGAAGGCAGUUGCCUGGCUCAAUACUGACACUAAAGCACGAAAGUGUGGGGAGCAAACAGGAUUAGAUACCCUGGUAGUCCACACCCUAAACGAUGAGUACUAGACGUUGGUCCUUUUAAGGAUCAGUGUCUGAGCUAACGCAUUAAGUACUCCACCUGGGAAGUACGAUCGCAAGGUUGAAACUCAAAGG
This 521-nucleotide ribosomal RNA is filed under the name uncultured bacterium. RNAcentral's name for it is "bacterial SSU rRNA". It matches the Rfam family "Bacterial small subunit ribosomal RNA", at positions 384 to 907 of the family's 1533-position model. The record is from RNAcentral.